GAUGAACGCUGGCGGCGUGCCUAAUACAUGCAAGUCGAGCGAACAGACGAGGAGCCUGCUCCUCUGACGUUAGCGGCGGACGGGUGAGUAACACGUGGAUAACCUACCUAUAAGACUGGGAUAACUUCGGGAAGCCGGAGCUAAUACCGGAUAAUAUAUUGAACCGCAUGGUUCAAUAGUGAAAGACGGUUUUGCUGUCACUUAUAGAUGGAUCCGCGCCGCAUUAGCUAGUUGGUAAGGUAACGGCUUACCCAGGCAACGAUGCGUAGCCGACCUGAGAGGGUGAUCGGCCACACUGGAACUGAGACACGGUCCAGACUCCUACGGGAGGCAGCAGUAGGGAAUCUUCCGCAAUGGGCGAAAGCUUGACGGAGCAACGCCGCGUGAGUGAUGAAGGUCUUCGGAUCGUAAAACUCUGUUAUUAGGGAAGAACAAAUGUGUAAGUAACUAUGCACGUCUUGACGGUACCUAAUCAGAAAGCCACGGCUAACUACGUG
RNAcentral lists this ribosomal RNA (497 nucleotides) under uncultured bacterium. RNAcentral's name for it is "partial 16S ribosomal RNA". It matches the Rfam family "Bacterial small subunit ribosomal RNA", at positions 28 to 507 of the family's 1533-position model. The record is from RNAcentral.